Long non-coding RNA from Hyaena hyaena (striped hyena), 1328 nucleotides. RefSeq lists it as uncharacterized. The transcript is spliced from 7 exons. The record is from RefSeq and is a predicted model, not a curated record. Lineage: Eukaryota; Metazoa; Chordata; Mammalia; Carnivora; Hyaenidae.
UUGAGGAAUGGUCAUCAUGUCCUUUUCAUAAAUUUUGGUAUACGCGUGUGCGCGCGCGCACACACACACACACACAACUUUAGUUGUUGGUCUUAAAAGUUUUAUCUUACAGAUGAGAAAACUGAGGCCCCGGAGGAGGAAAUGCUUGCCUAGAAUCAGCCUCUUAGUCACCAGACUAGUGCUAUGUCUGAAUUGUUUCCCUCGCGACCCCUCCAUCUGUAUUUUCUCUGUCCUCUGUAAAUCUUAGCAACAUUCUUGAUUUCUCUCUCUCCCUCACCCCCAAGCUCAAUCCAACAGCAGGUCCUGCCAGUCGGACCGUCUUACGAUGUCCUGAGUCUACCCAUUUCUCCUCGUUGCCACCGCCUGCGUGUCGGUUCCCCAGCAGCCCUCCACUGAUGGGCACUCGUGUGGAUAAACGUGAAGACACUCGGAGACUAUGAAGCGUGGUCCGCAUCUGCAUGUGUAGUUUGUUUUAGGUAGACUUCACGCCCAGCACGAAACCCAAUGAGGGGCUUGAACUCAUGACCCCGAGAUCAAGACCUGAGCUGAGAUCAAGAGGAGUAGACGCUUAACCGACUAAGCCACCUGGGUACCCCUGCAAAGAAGAUUUUAACUAGAAUGGUCAAUUCGCUAUCAAAGCUGAAGAACUGGCCUUAGGAUCCAUGGACAUUUCUCAUGCUCUCUCGCUGCUUCCUGUCUGGUGGGGUAAACACCAGUCUCCAGUCUCUGCCCCAGACUCUCCGGGUGCAAAGAGAGAACGGCAACCAUGGAGCAGAGAAGGUGGGCUGGUCUCCUGACUCUGUUUCUGCUUCCUAGAGCCUCGCCGCUCUGGGCUCCCUGAACCUCGCCUGUAAAAUAGCACCGUCUUGGGGAAGAUUGACAUGAAGCGCUCGCCCACCCAUAAAGUGUUCGUUGGAACUCCUACUUCCAGCUAUACAUGAUGCUUUUUGCUUCAAUGCCAAAUACAUCCUCCCAAGAAGGGGUCUCAAAUCUGUGAAUAUUUUGAAAUGCGUAUGUACUGAGCAGGAGCACCAAAUAUUUGAGCAUCUGAAUGCCCCACCUGGAGAAUUUCAGAGCCAAGCCACCACCUGUCGUCAUUUUCUAUUCACCACCCUAAGUGUUCAUGUUCCUCCGAUUUCCUAACGGCUCAUUUUCCUCAUCUGUCAAGUCAAAUGAAGGUUAUGGAAUAGAUGAUCUCUAAAAACCCCUUCCAGCUCUACAGUUCUAUUCUGGGUCUGUCUGCACCUGCAGACAGUGACGUGGGGGGAGGAAGGGCACCGGAGGGUGGAGGCAAAUGUAGUCAUGAGAAUAAACCACAUUUACCUGGA